AUGUCAUAAUAUGGAUAUAAAAUAUCAUAAUUUUUUCAAAGAGUAGAAGCAUUUUCGUCAUUCAAAAUUAAAAAAAAAAAAAGAAACUACAGACAUUAAAUGUGCGUUGGGAAAUGAUAGCUAUAUGGACCAAUCACAAAAGCGGUACUCUCCACAUCGGAUUUUCUACACUACUCAUAGUGCACAAAGAAUUUCCUUGAGUAGGAAAGGAGGUAACAUUUGAAUUAGCUGAUGCAACCAGGUCACUUGCCUGAAUCGGUUGGAUGGGCUUGAUAGUCGGGCU
Molecule: long non-coding RNA, 283 nt
Filed under: Elaeis guineensis (African oil palm)
Lineage: Eukaryota; Viridiplantae; Streptophyta; Magnoliopsida; Arecales; Arecaceae
Description: long non-coding RNA (EGUI_LNC012777)
Source: RNAcentral